This is an unclassified non-coding RNA of Callithrix jacchus (white-tufted-ear marmoset), 148 nucleotides long. It matches the Rfam family "Metazoan signal recognition particle RNA". Rfam says of the family: The signal recognition particle (SRP) is a universally conserved ribonucleoprotein. It is involved in the co-translational targeting of proteins to membranes. The record is from Ensembl. Lineage: Eukaryota; Metazoa; Chordata; Mammalia; Primates; Cebidae.
GCUGGGCAUUGUGGUGCAUGCCUGUAAUCCCAGCUACUCGGGAGGCUGAGGCAGGAGAAUUGCUUGAAUCUGGGAGGUGGAGGUUGCAGUGAGCCGAGAUCAUGCCACUGCACUCCAGCCUGGAUGACAGAGCAAGAUUCCGUCUCAA